RNAcentral lists this ribosomal RNA (505 nucleotides) under uncultured bacterium. RNAcentral describes it as "bacterial SSU rRNA". It matches the Rfam family "Bacterial small subunit ribosomal RNA", at positions 28 to 524 of the family's 1533-position model. The record is from RNAcentral.
GAUGAACGCUAGCGGCAGGCUUAAUACAUGCAAGUCGUGGGGCAAGCGUUGGUAGCAAUAUCGGCGCCUAGACCGGCAAACGGGUGCGGAACACGUACACAACCUUCCUUUUAGUGGAGAAUAACCCGGGGAAACUUGGACUAAUACUCCGUAACAUGUUGAAAAGGCAUCUUUUUAAUAUUAUAGUAGCAAUGCGCUAAGAGACGGGUGUGCGCAUGAUUAGGUAGUUGGCGGGGUAACGGCCCACCAAGCCUACGAUCAUUAACUGGUGUGAGAGCACGACCAGUCACACGGGCACCGAGACACGGGCCCGACUCCUACGGGAGGCAGCAGUAAGGAAUAUUGGUCAAUGGAGGAAACUCUGAACCAGCCAUGCCGCGUGGAGGAUGAAGGUCCUCUGGAUUGUAAACUUCUUUUAUAUGGGACGAAAAAAGGGUUUUCUAACUCGACUGACGGUACCAUAUGAAUAAGCACCGGCUAACUCCGUGCCAGCAGCCGCGGUAAU